GCUGGGUGUGGUGGCGCACCCCUGUAAUCCCAGCUACUCGGGAGGCUGAGGUGGGAGAAUUGCUUGAACCCGGGAGGCAGAGGCUGCAGUGAGCCAAGAUCUCACCACUGCACUCCAGCCUGGGCAACAGAGCAAGACCCCGUCUCAA
This 148-nucleotide small RNA is filed under the name Pongo abelii (Sumatran orangutan). RNAcentral's name for it is "Metazoan signal recognition particle RNA (ENSPPYG00000038934.1)". The record is from Rfam by way of RNAcentral. Lineage: Eukaryota; Metazoa; Chordata; Mammalia; Primates; Hominidae.